ACAGUGAGGGGGGGCUACCAUGCAGUCGAGCGAGAAAGGGGGGCAACUCCCUGAGUACAGCGGCGCACGGGUGAGUAACGCGUAGGUAACCUACCUCAGAGUCCGGGAUAACCCAUCGAAAGGUGGGCUAAUACCGGAUACGCCCACGAGGGUCUGCUCUCGUGGUGAAAGAUGGCCUCUGCUUGCAAGCUAUAGCUCCGGGAUGGGCCUGCGCGCCAUUAGCUAGUUGGUGGGGUAAUGGCCCACCAAGGCAAUGAUGGCUAGCUGGUCUGAGAUGAUGACCAGCCACACUGGGACUGGAACACGGCCCAGACUCCUACGGGAGGCAGCAGUGGGGGAUAUUGCGCAAUGGGCGAAAGCCUGACGCAGCGACGCCGCGUGGGUGAUGAAGGUCUUCGGAUCGUAAAGCCCUGUCGGGAGGGAAGAACCGAUCGCGAUCGAACAGGCCGCGAUCCUGACGGUACCUCCAAAGGAAGCACCGGCUAACUCCGUGCCAGCAGCCGCGGUAAUACGGAGGGUGCGAGCGUUGUUCGGAAUCACUGGGCGUAAAGCGCGUGUAGGCGGCUCGGUAAGUCUGGUGUGAAAGCCCGGGGCUCACCCCCGGAAGGGCACUGGAAACUGCCGAGCUCGAGUCCCGGAGAGGAGGGUGGAAUUCCUGGUGUAGCGGUGAAAUGCGUAGAUAUCAGGAGGAACACCGGAGGCGAAGGCGGCCCUCUGGACGGUGACUGACGCUGAGACGCGAAAGCGUGGGGAGCAAACAGGAUUAGAUACCCUGGUAGUCCACGCCGUAAACGAUGAGCACUAGGUGUCGUGGGUACUGACCCCCGCGGUGCCGUCGCUAACGCGUUAAGUGCUCCGCCUGGGGACUACGGCCGCAAGGCUAAAACUCAAAGGAAUUGACGG
Molecule: ribosomal RNA, 903 nt
Filed under: uncultured delta proteobacterium
Lineage: Bacteria; Deltaproteobacteria
Description: bacterial SSU rRNA
Rfam family: Bacterial small subunit ribosomal RNA
Source: RNAcentral